RNAcentral lists this ribosomal RNA (497 nucleotides) under uncultured bacterium. RNAcentral describes it as "partial 16S ribosomal RNA". It matches the Rfam family "Bacterial small subunit ribosomal RNA", at positions 28 to 507 of the family's 1533-position model. The record is from RNAcentral.
GAUGAACGCUGGCGGCGUGCCUAAUACAUGCAAGUCGAGCGAACGGACGAGAAGCUUGCUUCUCUGAUGUUAGCGGCGGACGGGUGAGUAACACGUGGAUAACCUACCUAUAAGACUGGGAUAACUUCGGGAAACCGGAGCUAAUACCGGAUAAUAUUUUGAACCGCAUGGUUCAAAAGUGAAAGACGGUCUUGCUGUCACUUAUAGAUGGAUCCGCGCUGCAUUAGCUAGUUGGUAAGGUAACGGCUUACCAAGGCAACGAUGCAUAGCCGACCUGAGAGGGUGAUCGGCCACACUGGAACUGAGACACGGUCCAGACUCCUACGGGAGGCAGCAGUAGGGAAUCUUCCGCAAUGGGCGAAAGCCUGACGGAGCAACGCAGCGUGAGUGAUGAAGUUCUUCGGAUCGUAAAACUCUGUUAUUAGGGAAGAACAUAUGUGUAAGUAACUGUGCACAUCUUGACGGUACCUAAUCAGAAAGCCACGGCUAACUACGUG